GAUGAACGCUAGCUACAGGCUUAACACAUGCAAGUCGAGGGGCAGCAUGGUCUUAGCUUGCUAAGGCCGAUGGCGACCGGCGCACGGGUGAGUAACACGUAUCCAACCUGCCGUCUACUCUUGGACAGCCUUCUGAAAGGAAGAUUAAUACAAGAUGGCAUCAUGAGUCCGCAUGUUCACAUGAUUAAAGGUAUUCCGGUGGACGAUGGGGAUGCGUUCAAUUAGAUAGUAGGCGGGGUAACGGCCCACCUAGUCUUCGAUGGUUAGGGGUUCUGAGAGGAAGGUCCCCAACAUUGGAACUGAGACACGGUCCAAACUCCUACGGGAGGCAGCAGUGAGGAAUAGUGGUCAAUGGGCGAGAGCCUGAACCAGCCAAGUAGCGUGAAGGAUGACUGCCCUAUGGGUUGUAAACUUCUUUUAUAAAGGAAUAAAGUCGGGUAUGGAUACCCGUUUGCAUGUACUUUAUGAAUAAGGAUCGGCUAACUCCGUG
Molecule: ribosomal RNA, 490 nt
Filed under: uncultured bacterium
Lineage: Bacteria
Description: partial 16S ribosomal RNA
Rfam family: Bacterial small subunit ribosomal RNA
Source: RNAcentral